RNAcentral lists this transfer RNA (67 nucleotides) under Marmota monax (woodchuck). RNAcentral describes it as "tRNA.Ala". It matches the Rfam family "tRNA". Rfam says of the family: Transfer RNA (tRNA) molecules are approximately 80 nucleotides in length. Their secondary structure includes four short double-helical elements and three loops (D, anti-codon, and T loops). Lineage: Eukaryota; Metazoa; Chordata; Mammalia; Rodentia; Sciuridae. The record is from RNAcentral.
GGUUGUGGCUCAGUGGUAGAGCACUUGCCUAGCAUAUUUGAGGCCCUGGGUUCAAUUCUCAGCACCA